Molecule: long non-coding RNA, 443 nt
Organism: Ictalurus punctatus (channel catfish)
Lineage: Eukaryota; Metazoa; Chordata; Actinopteri; Siluriformes; Ictaluridae
Source: Ensembl
GUGAAGACAUUCAAACUCCAAGUGGCUCAGAUACUUCUCUACAGGCAGGAUGUGAGCUGGGCUGGGAUAGCGUGCACCUUACUGAGGAAAUCAGUGGCUGCAGGCAUAUUACAUGCACAUCCGGCCAAGAGCGAUCAGGAGUGACCUGAACUGUGACAGAUUUUUUCCUUUCGUCAGCUGGCACGGCUUUGCUCACAGUUUCAAACGACCUUGGUGUGCUCCACAAAGCUUAUGAAAAAAGCUGGAGAGAGUGCACACUGGAAAGCUUUUUAAGAGCCACCACUCGUCAGGCAAGAAGUGCGGCAGAGUCAGCAGCAGCUAACCCGAAGGACACGGAGAAGGAGGCCGUGUCCUUUCACCUGGCCUAUGACACUGCCGUGGCCAGACUGCGCAGAGUACCGACGCCACAGGCUGUAGCCGCCACGGCUACAUUGCUGGACUCC